AUGAACGCUGGCGGCGUGCCUAAUACAUGCAAGUCGAGCGAACAGACGAGGAGCUUGCUCCUCUGACGUUAGCGGCGGACGGGUGAGUAACACGUGGAUAACCUACCUAUAAGACUGGGAUAACUUCGGGAAACCGGAGCUAAUACCGGAUAAUAUAUUGAACCGCAUGGUUCAAUAGUGAAAGACGGUUUUGCUGUCACUUAUAGAUGGAUCCGCGCCGCAUUAGCUAGUUGGUAAGGUAACGGCUUACCAAGGCAACGAUGCGUAGCCGACCUGAGAGGGGUGGUCGGCCAAAGGGAACCGGAGACAGGGCCCAAACUCCACGGGGGGGACAGGGUGGGAAAACUGCCGCAAGGGGGAAAAGCCGGACGGAGAAACGCGGGGGGGGUGAGGAAGGUCUUGGGUUCGAAAAACCCUGUUUUUGGGAAAAAAAAAAUGUGAAAGAAACUUUGCCCGUCUUGAGGGAACCAAAUAAAAAGGCCACGCCAAACUAGUG
Molecule: ribosomal RNA, 496 nt
Filed under: uncultured bacterium
Lineage: Bacteria
Description: partial 16S ribosomal RNA
Rfam family: Bacterial small subunit ribosomal RNA
Source: RNAcentral